UUUAGUCAUGCAUUUGCUAAAUUAUUGCCAUGUAAGUUUAUUUAUUAUUGUACUAAUGUCAUUGUUAUAUUUUAAUCAUUAGCUCACACUUAAUUUAAAAGAUUUGGUUCACAGUUAAAUUAAAUUAAUUGUCCACACUUAAUAUAAAAAAAUGUAGUCACUUAAAAGUUCAAAUAUAUUAUUGCUAAAAGUUCAUAUUUAAAUAGUUAAAUAUACCCUAAUUUUAUUUUAAAAAAAUAAAAUAAAGUACACAUACAAAUAUAUUUAUGUUAAAAGUUCAUAGUUAAAUAGCCUAAAUUUAAUUUAAAAUGUCAAAAAUAGUAAAAAAAAAUAAUUAAAAUUAAUCAACAAAAUGGCAAAACAUAAUUUAUGGUCAAAUUUAAUCAAUAUAUUUACGGUAUAAUGGGCUAUAAUUAGGAGUAUUUACUUAAAAUCUUUGAAGUUUUACUUGGGUAUACGAAAUAAAGUUAUUUUUAAUUCAUCUAAAAUAGUUGUGGUCGUUCCUAAAAAAAUACUUACGGUCAUUUCACAUGAUUUUUUCACUGAUCUAAACUACACAAAAGCCCACAAAAGCCCAUAAUUUUUGCCAGAAAGAAAAAGACCCACGAUUCUUUUAGUCAUUGGAUUCCAGAACUCGAACUCAGACCGGCAAAUACAAAAUAAAAGCCCUAAUUCAAUUAUAUUUCACCCAUUCCGACCAUCCCAAUCCAGCGCCGCUUCGUCGUCUUCUUCUUCAUCUUCUUCUUAUUUUAUGCGUCAAGGAGAGAAAGUGAGCAACAACAGCAGAGAGAAUAUUAUUUCAACAGAGAAUAAGGAAGAUCUGGCAACCACCGCACUGAAGAAAUUGUUGCCGCCUCUCGCCGAAUUGACGAUUAAGGGGGCCGAUCUAACUGCUGGAGGAGAUUCUGUACCGAAAAGGUCUCGCUGGCGGUCGAGCCACCUUCGUUCAUGGUUUCACUGUGCUAUAGUUCUUUUUUCUUUUUUAUUUUUAUAAAAAUUUUGCCUUUCGUGUAAUAUAUGUGUGAUAAAUAUCAGUUGAAGUUGUUGAUGUUCAAUAUUAUGCAUAAUUAAGGAAAUAUUGUGGAGAUCAAGCAUCUUUUAAUCGAAAAAAUGAGAUCUGAUAUUUGAACAUAAUUGUUGAUUUGAAGAUGUUGAAUGAAUUUAUCCGUGUGUAUGCUGAAUUCUGCUUCUUCUUUUCUUAGAUCAAUCCCACGUUCAUCAAUCCACGUUUAUUUGAAC
This 1239-nucleotide long non-coding RNA is filed under the name Salvia miltiorrhiza (redroot sage). RNAcentral describes it as "long non-coding RNA (SMIL_LNC005990)". The record is from RNAcentral. Lineage: Eukaryota; Viridiplantae; Streptophyta; Magnoliopsida; Lamiales; Lamiaceae.